GACGGGGAGCACCACAACGGGUGGAGCUUGUCGGUUUAAUUGGAUUCAACGCCGGAAAUCUUACCGGGACCGACAGCAAUAUGAAGGCCAGGCUGAAGACUUUGCCGGAUUAGCUGAGAGGUGGUGCAUGGCCGUCGUCAGUUCGUACUGUGAAGCAUCCUGUUAAGUCAGGCAACGAGCGAGACCCACGCCCACAGUUGCCAGCGUACUCUCUGGAGUGACGGGUACACUGUGGGGACCGCCGCUGCUAAAGCGGAGGAAGGAAUGGGCAACGGUAGGUCAGUAUGCCCCGAAUAUCCCGGGCUACACGCGAGCUACAAUGGUUGGUACAAUGGGUAUCUACCCCGAAAGGGGACGGGAAUCUCCUAAAACCAAUCUUAGUUCGGAUUGAGGGCUGCAACUCGCCCUCAUGAAGCUGGAAUCCGUAGUAAUCGCGUUUCAACAGAACGCGGUGAAUACGUCCCUGCUCCUU
Molecule: ribosomal RNA, 472 nt
Filed under: uncultured Methanosaeta sp.
Lineage: Archaea; Methanobacteriati; Methanobacteriota; Methanomicrobia; Methanotrichales; Methanotrichaceae
Description: bacterial SSU rRNA
Rfam family: Archaeal small subunit ribosomal RNA
Source: RNAcentral